This is a small nucleolar RNA of Echinops telfairi (small Madagascar hedgehog), 105 nucleotides long. Lineage: Eukaryota; Metazoa; Chordata; Mammalia; Afrosoricida; Tenrecidae. The record is from Ensembl.
GUGCUCCAGUGUCCUCCCCAUCAGACCCAGACACUGGUCCCAGUGGUUGUAAAGGAGGAAAAGUAAGCUUGACACUGACCUCCCACGAGCUUGUUUCCAACAAAC